CUGCGUCCCAAACCGCAUACUUGCCUACUAUAGGCCUGUAGUGGGGAAAAAUACAUGUAUCUCGGCUACUAUAUAGACGGUAAGUACACGGUUUGAGACUAUUGACUCUAUUUGCUAAUAUACUUUGUCUAUUAGCACGUACAGCCUGACAAAUAAUUAACUGCACUUAAAGCGUUCAUAAAAAAAUUAAAUAAAAAUACCCAAAACUGUAUACAGUACCAUAACGAAGACGAACUGUAUGUUGAUAUGUGAAAUUCUGGAUAGACGUCGGACGGCGUGGCGCAGUGACGUAAUGACGCGGGCUGUUAAUCUAAUUAUGUUCUAAAACAUGUAAAACGGGCACAAGAAAGGAGUAUUCUAAAAGUGACUCAUGUAAACACCAUAAUCACAUUAUUAUCUUAAUCAGAGUAAGGUCAAUAAUUAGAUUACUGCUGUCCAUGUAAACGUAGUCAGUGAAUGUUUGCACCUUUUUUGUGAUAGUUGUGUACAAGUCUCUCAGUUGUCCUCAGUGUGAAAAGACGGAUCUCAGCAUCAUAUAGUUGCUGUUGGAAAGGGGUCACAUAUGCAGAAGAUGCCGGAAAAGAAAAGAAUGUGCAGGACCUGGAGGAUUUUUCUGAAGAACAGUUACUUGAUGCUCGGUCUUGUUGUGUUGCUGGUCGUUAUGGAGAGCUUCUGGAAGCUUCAGCAAGUGCAGGCCUUGGUGCAUCUCUUUGUUGGGUCUACAGCAGCGUCACUAAAAGAAGAUGAUCUUGAGGAGCUAGUGCUAGGUGAAUGGCCAGACAGCCAUGAUAUUCCAACAGCGGCUGUUCAGUUUAGACCCCCUAUCUCCAUCAUCUCACAUCGCAUGUCUGAUUCACCAGCAUUCCCUUUUGUGGAGGAUGCAUGUACAUCAUUUACAGCAAAAGCGGCAACUUAUAAGAAGACCGUGUGUCCGCAACAUCAGCCAGACACUGAUCCAGACCCAGCUGAUCAAAACAACUGAUUACCAAAAUCAAAUGUCUUUAAACACGGUCACUAAAUUUAUAUUCACAAGAAAGAAGUGACAGAGCAAAUGUUUCUCGUUCCAGGGUUUUCAACCAAAGCCUUCCUGAUGCGCCACUGACACUUUGAUCAUCUCAAGGAUUUAUUUGAAUUGAAAAAUGUUGCACAGUGUUGCCAGUGUUUGAGAUUAUACAGGAAUUUCCUGUAUAAGGAAUUUUUCCUGGAAUUAAUUUUGUCUGCAUCAAGAUCAGUUCCCCAAAUUGUUAAAGAAAAUACUUUUCUUUGUACUUUAUUUUCCAUUUAUAGUUUCAAUCCCAUUAUGAGCACAAACAAUAGAGACCUUGACUAUGCGCUUCAAUACAUUAAUGUUAAAUUAACUGCAUUUUAUACAGAUGUUCAGAGUAAACUUGUAACAUGUUCCAGUAUUUUCUUUUAGUGUUUAGAGAAGUUCUGUAGUUAGUCAUUUCAGAACUUUGUCUUUGUGCUUAAGGCUGUAAGAGUUUAACUCCAGUACAUUAGAGGCAGCAAUGUGGCAUGAUUUAUUUUCUAUCCAACAAUCACUAAACAAUUGGUACAAAAUUGGUAGGCAGUUAAAGGCCCAAGCAAUGACGGGUUGUGAGACACCAAAACCACCUUAGCAAGCUUAGAAGCUUAGAGUGAAUAACAAUGGUUUAUAACAGCGGUUUAUACAAAGCUCAUAGACUCUGUGGUUUAUAAAAGCA
This is a long non-coding RNA of Ictalurus punctatus (channel catfish), 1703 nucleotides long. Lineage: Eukaryota; Metazoa; Chordata; Actinopteri; Siluriformes; Ictaluridae. The record is from Ensembl.